Long non-coding RNA from Solea solea (common sole), 2063 nucleotides. RefSeq lists it as uncharacterized. NCBI's taxonomy places the organism in Eukaryota, Metazoa, Chordata, Actinopteri, Pleuronectiformes, Soleidae. The record is from RefSeq and is a predicted model, not a curated record. The transcript is spliced from 2 exons.
GCCUCUUUCUGUGGACCCACUCUCGCUCCCAGCCGGCAUUUGAGAGCUCAGAUUGGGACAGCACCUCUUCGAUCCUCACAUGGAGGAUGGAGCAGUGAAAAGGGAUGGAUUGUUUCUGAAGUCAGUAUUUGUGUUGACAUGUAUUAAAUAUCCUAAAGGUAACUAAGAAACAAACAACAUGUGAAAGUAUCUAUCAUAUCAUAUUCAAAGUCAAGGUUUGGUUUAAGAGAAUUGAUGCAAUGUUGACAACUAAGUUAAAUGAAAUGUGUACUAACACUACACUGAAUUGAACGUAUGUUGAGUCACUGCAUGCUAAUUCACACCAGUGCUAAUGCUGCAUGAAAUGCUAACAGGUCGACCUAUGCUAAUACUGCUGCUGAAAGUACCCACAAUUGCAUUGUUUUUAUCAAAUAACCCACAUUAGCUGACUGCCCUCCAUAGUCUUGUCUGUAGAUCUGUUUACUUUCAGAAAAGAUGGUGGUUUCCUGGCUCAAGACAAGGAAGUUGACUCAUGCUGUCUGUGAACCCAUGCACCAGAAGGGGGUCCAAAGAGAAAUGGAAUGAGCCAGUGAAAGAAGAAUCCUGUACUGCUAUGAGACCAACAUCAUCAGCAAUCCAGGCUAAAGAAGCAUGCCGUUGUGUCAAUCGAACAAACUGGUUUGAAUGUUUUUUUUUCAGGAAACAUCUUCAAGUACAAGGGAGCAACGGCUCAAAACAGCAGCAAAGGAAAGAAUGGACUGGGGGCCCUGAACACGACAGUAUGGAUACACUGAUUCAACGUACUCUGGACAUUACAUUAUAUUACAUUGUAUUAGGAGGCAACACUACUGAAGUUUGAAGUUUGAAUAACACAUGGAAUGAUAUGAUUGUGAAUGGUUUACAUACAGAAACCUGAAUUUUGUUUUUGUGACAUAAUCUCUGACAUUGAUAUAGAUGUUUGAAAUCUUUCUGUUGUACAUCAAUAUUACUGUUUGAUAACAUCGAUAGAGAAAAUGUGAAUUAUAUGACCAAUUGGCAAAGGGUCAUAAAAUUAGAAUAUAAAUGGUAAUUGUUAAAAUUUUAAUGGAGACUUCUUGUCCUGAUUGGCUCAAGGAUGGGAGUUUCUCCAAUUUUAUUCCAGAAAAGGUCUCCUAGUCUUUUUCCCACCUUUUAGGAGGGGUGGUUUUUCUGAUGGGGAGAUAACAGCUGAUCCUAGGUUCCCUUACACGUACACUUAAAGAGUAGUUGUUUUAAAGAAGUGUGGCUGGAAGGAGAUCGACGGAUGUGGCUAAGUGUAGCCGAAUUUGAUUUAAGUAAGGUAGAUGAUUAGUAUACCUAGUCUAAAAUAGUUGAAAUAAUGUGCGAAUAGGACAUCAAAUAGGAAAUUACUCAAUUAGCUGAUCCUAAAAUUGAAGUUUCAAACUGUUUCUCAAAUUAGAUAAAAGACUGAAUGAAGGGAAUUUUGUUGAAGCAAGCAGGCAAGCGUUAUUAUGUCAAUGCGACUAAGCGACAUAGUUGUGUUAAUUAUUCUGCGUUUUCGAGACUCUAUGGAGUCCCGAAGGGGGGAAUGUAGUAUCUGAUGAAGUAUAUGAACUAAGAAGAACACAUUAACACAGCUAAUGUCUAAUACUUAAAUGUAUUGAAGAUUGACAUUAAUAAGUAACUAUGAGACAAGAAGGUCUCUUGGACACAUGACAAGUCAGACCAUACGUUGUACAAUAGGCAUCCUGUAUAGGACAGGAAGCUUGAGGGUCUGUCUUGGAUAUGGUUAGUUAGGAAAUAUAGAUGUCUCUUGUUUGACUAAAUGGUGAUAUUGUCCAAUUUAAAGAUCAUGGGACAGUAUGGAAUAUCUGGACCCAACUUGUUUUCCAAGUUGUUGUAUUAUAGAAAAAGGAGAAAGGCGGGGGUCAAAACAUGUGAUGCCUGCAAAUAGGAGUGUUAGAGAAUCUAUAUAGUGUUGGUUUUUGCUUUUCUGAGGCAGAAUUGUUCGGAGAUUCGGCAGGAGCACAUUCUCCCAAGCUGCUGUGGCGGCUUGGUUCUGACGCCUGACUUGUAACUAAAUAAAAUCCCUUUGUUCAGUACAA